This 376-nucleotide ribosomal RNA is filed under the name uncultured bacterium. RNAcentral describes it as "bacterial SSU rRNA". It matches the Rfam family "Bacterial small subunit ribosomal RNA", at positions 523 to 898 of the family's 1533-position model. The record is from RNAcentral.
AUACGUAGGGUGCGAGCGUUGUUCGGAGUUAUUGGGCGUAAAGGGCGUGUAGGCGGCUUGAGAAGUCUGGUUUGAAAUGCACUGGCUCAACUGGUGCGCUGGGUCGGAAACUGGCAGGCUAGAGUUCAUGGGGAGGAGCUGGAAUUCCAGGUGUAGGGGUGAAAUCUGUAGAGAUCUGGAAGAACACCGGUAGCGAAGGCGGGCUCCUAUGAAUGGACUGACGCUGAGGCGCGAAAGCGUGGGGAGCAAACAGGAUUAGAUACCCUGGUAGUCCACGCUGUAAACUAUGUGCACUAGGUAUGGGGUACGAGAGGUAUUCCGUGCCGGAGCGAACGCGUUAAGUGCACCGCCUGGGGAGUAUGCUCGCAAGGGUGAA